CUUGUGGAACACGAGAGUGCCUCGGGAGCCGAAGACAGGUGCUGCAUGGCUGUCGUCAGCUCGUGUCGUGAGAUGUUGGUUAAGUCCCGCAACGAGCGCAACCCUUAUCCUUUGUUGCCAGCGAGUAAUGUCGGGAACUCAAAGGAGACUGCCGGUGAUAAACCGGAGGAAGGUGGGAUGACGUCAAGUCAUCAUGGCCCUUACGAGUAGGGCUACACACGUGCUACAAUGGCAUAUACAAAGAGAAGCGAACUCGCGAGAGCAAGCGGACCUCAUAAAGUAUGUCGUAGUCCGGAUUGGAGUCUGCAACUCGACUCCAUGAAGUCGGAAUCGCUAGUAAUCGUAGAUCAGAAUGCUACGGUGAAUACGUUCCCGGGCCUU
This 381-nucleotide ribosomal RNA is filed under the name uncultured Enterobacteriaceae bacterium. RNAcentral's name for it is "bacterial SSU rRNA". It matches the Rfam family "Bacterial small subunit ribosomal RNA", at positions 997 to 1382 of the family's 1533-position model. Lineage: Bacteria; Pseudomonadati; Pseudomonadota; Gammaproteobacteria; Enterobacterales; Enterobacteriaceae. The record is from RNAcentral.